UUUCGUCGUCGAUCCAUACCA
This is a non-coding RNA of Caenorhabditis elegans, 21 nucleotides long. NCBI's taxonomy places the organism in Eukaryota, Metazoa, Nematoda, Chromadorea, Rhabditida, Rhabditidae. The record is from Ensembl.